RNAcentral lists this ribosomal RNA (252 nucleotides) under uncultured bacterium. Its description in RNAcentral is "partial 16S ribosomal RNA". It matches the Rfam family "Bacterial small subunit ribosomal RNA", at positions 524 to 776 of the family's 1533-position model. The record is from RNAcentral.
UCCGUAGGGGGCUAUCGUUAUCCGGAUUUACUGGGCGUAAAGGGUGCGUAGGUGGUUUCUUAAGUCAGGAGUGAAAGGCUACGGCUCAACCGUAGUAAGCUCUUGAAACUGGGAAACUUGAGUGCAGGAGAGGAAAGUGGAAUUCCUAGUGUAGCGGUGAAAUGCGUAGAUAUUAGGAGGAACACCAGUAGCGAAGGCGGCUUUCUGGACUGUAACUGACACUGAGGCACGAAAGCGUGGGGAGAAAACAGG